This 437-nucleotide ribosomal RNA is filed under the name uncultured bacterium. RNAcentral describes it as "bacterial SSU rRNA". It matches the Rfam family "Bacterial small subunit ribosomal RNA", at positions 62 to 543 of the family's 1533-position model. The record is from RNAcentral.
UCGUACGGACCAGCAAUGGUCAGUGGCGGACGGGUUAGUAAUACGAUCGAACGUACCCUGAGGUGGGGGAUAGCGGCGGGAAACCGCCGGUAAUACUCCAUGAUCUCUCCGGAGCAAAGCCGCAAGGCGCCUUUGGAUCGGCGAUCGGCCUAUCAGCUAGUUGGCGGGGUAACGGCCCACCAAGGCGAUGACGGGUAGCAGGUGUGAGAGCACGACCUGCAACAUCGGGACUGAGACACUGCCCGGACUCCUACGGGAGGCUGCAGCGACGAAUCUUCCGCAAUGGGCGCAAGCCUGACGGAGCGACGCCGCGUGUGGGAUGAAGCGUCUACGACGUGUAAACCACUGUCAGAGGACAGAAACACUGAUUGUCCUCAGAGGAAGGGGCGACUAACUCUGUGCCAGCAGUCGCGGUAAUACAGAGGCCCCGAGCGUUA